AAUGAACGUUGGCGGCGUGGAUUAGGCAUGCAAGUCGAGCGCGAACCCCGCAAGGGGUGAAAGCGGCGAAAGGGAGAGUAACGCGUGGGUAUCUACCCUCGGGACUGGGAUAGCUGCGGGAAACUGCAGGUAAUACCAGAUGACGUCCCCGGACCAAAGGUGUGAUUCCGCCUGAGGAUGAGCCCGCGUCCUAUUAGCUAGUUGGUGGGGUAAUGGCCUACCAAGGCAAUGAUGGGUACUGGGUGUGAGAGCACGACCCAGCUCACUGGGACUGAGACACUGCCCAGACACCUACGGGUGGCUGCAGUCGAGAAUCUUCGGCAAUGGGCGAAAGCCUGACCGAGCGACGCCGCGUGUGGGAUGAAGGCCUUCGGGUUGUAAACCGCUGUCAGAGGGGAGGAAUGGGCGGAGGGUAAUCUCUUCGUUUUGACCUAUCCUCAGAGGAAGUACGGGCUAAGUUCGUGCCAGCAGCCGCAGUAA
This 480-nucleotide ribosomal RNA is filed under the name uncultured bacterium. RNAcentral's name for it is "partial 16S ribosomal RNA". It matches the Rfam family "Bacterial small subunit ribosomal RNA", at positions 29 to 523 of the family's 1533-position model. The record is from RNAcentral.